GACGAACGCUGGCGGCGUGCCUAAUACGUGCAAGUCGAGCGGACUGAUUAAGAGCUUGCUCUUAUGACGUUAGAGGCGGACGGGUGAGUAACACGUGUGCAACCUGCUCUGUAGAUCGGGAUAACAACGAGAAAUCGGUGCUAAUACCGUGUAAUAUCUGACAUCACAUGGUCGUAGGUUAAAAGUUGGCUCCGGCUAUCACUACAGCGUGGGAUCGCGGGGCAUUAGGUAGUUGGUCAGGCAAUGGCUUACCCAGGCGACGAUGCUUAGCCGACCUGGGGUGGUGGGAGGCCACACCGGGACUGGGACACGGCCCCGACGGCACCGGGAGGCAGCAGUAGGGAAUCCUCCGGACUGGACGGAAGUCUGACGGAGCAACGCCGGGUGAGUGAUGAAGGGUUUCGGCUCGUGAAGCUCUGGUGUUAGGGUAGAAACAGUACCGAACGAACUAGGACGGGACCUUGACGGUACCUAACCAGAAAGCAACGGCUAACUACGUG
Molecule: ribosomal RNA, 500 nt
Filed under: uncultured bacterium
Lineage: Bacteria
Description: partial 16S ribosomal RNA
Rfam family: Bacterial small subunit ribosomal RNA
Source: RNAcentral